This 413-nucleotide ribosomal RNA is filed under the name uncultured bacterium. Its description in RNAcentral is "bacterial SSU rRNA". It matches the Rfam family "Bacterial small subunit ribosomal RNA", at positions 505 to 916 of the family's 1533-position model. The record is from RNAcentral.
GUGCCAGCAGCCGCGGUAAUACGUAGGGUGCGAGCGUUAAUCGGAAUUACUGGGCGUAAAGCGUGCGCAGGCGGUUAUGUAAGACAGAUGUGAAAUCCCCGGGCUCAACCUGGGAACUGCGUUUGUGACUGCAUAACUAGAGUACGGCAGAGGGAGGUGGAAUUCCGCGUGUAGCAGUGAAAUGCGUAGAGAUGCGGAGGAACACCGAUGGCGAAGGCAGCCUCCUGGGCCAGUACUGACGCUCAUGCACGAAAGCGUGGGGAGCAAACAGGAUUAGAUACCCUGGUAGUCCACGCCCUAAACGAUGUCAACUAGUUGUUCGGUGAGGAGACUCAUUGAGUAACGCAGCUAACGCGUGAAGUUGACCGCCUGGGGAGUACGGCCGCAAGGUUAAAACUCAAAUAAAUUGACGG